Molecule: ribosomal RNA, 253 nt
Filed under: uncultured bacterium
Lineage: Bacteria
Description: partial 16S ribosomal RNA
Rfam family: Bacterial small subunit ribosomal RNA
Source: RNAcentral
UACGAAGGUCCCAAGCGUUAUCCGGAUUUAUUGGGUUUAAAGGGUGCGUAGGCGGACUAUUAAGUCAGUGGUGAAAGCCCCCAGCCUAACUGGGGAACUGCCAUUGAUACUGAUGGUCUUGAGUACAUUUGAGGUGGGCGGAAUGUGUCAUGUAGCGGUGAAAUGCUUAGAUAUGUCACAGAACACCAAUUGCGAAGGCAGCUUACUAUGGUGUCAAUGACGCUGAGGCACGAAAGCGUGGGGAUCAAACAGG